GGCUCAUUGGUCUAGGGUUAUGAUUCUAGCUUCAGAUGCGAGGGUUCCGGGUUCAAAUCCUGGACGAGCUU
This 71-nucleotide transfer RNA is filed under the name Bos taurus (domestic cattle). It matches the Rfam family "tRNA". Rfam says of the family: Transfer RNA (tRNA) molecules are approximately 80 nucleotides in length. Their secondary structure includes four short double-helical elements and three loops (D, anti-codon, and T loops). Lineage: Eukaryota; Metazoa; Chordata; Mammalia; Artiodactyla; Bovidae. RNAcentral also lists the same sequence under 1 other name. The record is from Rfam by way of RNAcentral.